AUACGGAGGAUGCAAGCGUUAUCCGGAUUUAUUGGGUUUAAAGGGUGCGUAGGCGGUUUGCUAAGCGGGAGGUGAAAUGCCGGCGCUCAACGUCGGAAGUGCCUCCCGAACUGGUGGACUGGAAUGACUCUGCCGUGGGAGGAAUGUGUAGUGUAGCGGUGAAAUGCUUAGAGAUUACACAGAACACCGAUUGCGAAUGCAUCUCACGAAGAGUUGAUUGACGCUGAGGCACGAAAGCGUUGGGAUCAAACAGGAUUAGAUACCCUGGUAGUCCACGCAGUAAACGAUGAUGGCUAACCGCUGGUUUAUGCGGAUCAGUGGCCAAGCGAAAGCGAUAAGCCAUCCACCUGGGGAGUACGACCGCAAGGUUGAAACUCAAAGGAAUUGACGGGG
RNAcentral lists this ribosomal RNA (393 nucleotides) under uncultured bacterium. RNAcentral describes it as "partial 16S ribosomal RNA". It matches the Rfam family "Bacterial small subunit ribosomal RNA", at positions 523 to 918 of the family's 1533-position model. The record is from RNAcentral.